This 405-nucleotide ribosomal RNA is filed under the name Escherichia coli. RNAcentral describes it as "partial 23S ribosomal RNA". It matches the Rfam family "Bacterial large subunit ribosomal RNA", at positions 375 to 786 of the family's 2925-position model. Lineage: Bacteria; Pseudomonadati; Pseudomonadota; Gammaproteobacteria; Enterobacterales; Enterobacteriaceae. The record is from RNAcentral.
GUACACAAAAAUGCACAUAUUGUGAGCUCGAUGAGUAGGGCGGGACACGUGGUAUCCUGUCUGAAUAUGGGGGGACCAUCCUCCAAGGCUAAAUACUCCUGACUGACCGAUAGUGAACCAGUACCGUGAGGGAAAGGCGAAAAGAACCCCGGCGAGGGGAGUGAAAAAGAACCUGAAACCGUGUACGUACAAGCAGUGGGAGCCUCUUAAUGGGGUGACUGCGUACCUUUUGUAUAAUGGGUCAGCGACUUAUAUUCUGUAGCAAGGUUAACCGAAUAGGGGAGCCGAAGGGAAACCGAGUCUUAACUGGGCGUUAAGUUGCAGGGUAUAGACCCGAAACCCGGUGAUCUAGCCAUGGGCAGGUUGAAGGUUGGGUAACACUAACUGGAGGACCGAACCGACUAA